Molecule: long non-coding RNA, 1069 nt
Organism: Phragmites australis (common reed)
Lineage: Eukaryota; Viridiplantae; Streptophyta; Magnoliopsida; Poales; Poaceae
Exons: 3
Source: RefSeq, a predicted model, not a curated record
CAUCCCAUGUAUCUCUCUCUUCCCCCAAAUUAGAAAUCCUUAUUCCCCAGCCCUCUAUCUCCCGUGCUCCUCCCAGGCUGCCGCCACCGUCUAGUCUCGGUACACGGGCUCCAGUAGCACCGUGGAUAGGAGAUCCAUGGCGAGCUCCUCCACUACAGCAACCUGCUCCACCAUAGCGACCGGUUCCAUGGCAGCUGGAUCCAUGGAAAUUGGAUUCAUUGCGACUAGAUCCAUAGCGGUGGCCUCUAGCAUGGCAAGCUGCUCCACCAUGGCUACCUCCUUCACCAUGACGAGUUGCUGAGCACUAAGAGCUCCUCCGCAGCUUCCACACCUAGCUCCAGCAUGGUGAUCUACCUCCUCUGCCACUUGUGUAUAGCAGCUUCUCCGGCCGUAGCAACGUUCGGGUCAGCCCCCGACACGGAGGUGGACUCAUCGCCCCCCCCCCCCAGUCCUUGCCUCAGCUAGAGUCGACUCUAGCUAGGGCCACCUCUGACUCCUCUGGAGCGCCUGGUGCCCUAACCUCGGCUCUAGAGCUGGGGUCCUUCGAUGUCGGAGCGGAUGAGCAGGUCAGCAGGAGGAGCUAGGAGGGGUGGCGUUGCACUGCAUGGUCUCCAGUGCUUCGCUCGUAAUGCUGCCAAGAGGAUCUAUCUUGGUCGCCCCUCCCUGGACGAAGGUACGUGAGGUGGCGAUCGAGCAAUGGGACUAGGAUCGGAUAGCUGUGGCAGCACUGCGUUGGAGUGUGCUAGGCGAUGCUAUUGCUUCUCCUCAUGGGCAUAUUUAGAGACCCGCCCAAGGCCAACAUCUAAUUCACUGAUUUGGAGAUCAAGAGUAUAAACACAGAUUGGAUAAUUUUGAUAUUUGUUGACAUUCUUUUAUGAAAUUGUAUAGUUGUAGAUUGUUUCACUUUGGAUAACAGAUGUGCAGAGGGAGUAUUUGUAUGAACAUUUUUGUGAAUGGUGAUAGAAAUAUAAUUAAAUUGCUCCAUUGAUGUAAAUGGAAUAAUGAGUUGGCAUGAGCUAUACUUUUUGUGACAUCGUCGGUGUCUAUUAUUUUUCGUCAUAAAUUUCAU